Molecule: long non-coding RNA, 437 nt
Filed under: Brassica napus (rape)
Lineage: Eukaryota; Viridiplantae; Streptophyta; Magnoliopsida; Brassicales; Brassicaceae
Description: long non-coding RNA (BNAP_LNC020308)
Source: RNAcentral
UUUAGGGUUGAUGUUUUAGGGUUUAGAGUUGAUAUUUUAGGUUUAGAUUUUAAGGUUUAGGGUUUAGGGUUGAUGUUUUAGAGUUUAGAUUUUAAGGUUUAUGAUUUAGGGUUUAAAGUUGAUGUUUCGGGGUUUAGGGUUUAUAGUUGAUGAUUUAGGGUUUAGGGUUGAUGUUUUAGGGUUUAGGGUUUACUUAACCAUAAGUUUUUUUUUGUUAAAGUUAAUCAAAUAGUUAUAAAUGUCUUUUCUCUUUCAUUAAAAAUGAAGGUAAAAUUGGUUAGUGUAAACAUGAAAAGUAGUAUUUUUGACAAUUUCUCAUUUUUGUAAGGAUUAAAAAGAUAAACGAAAAAAUAUUUAAAAAUCAAAAAUGUAAUAUACAAUUGUAAGGACCAAAAUGCAAAUAAAAAUAUUAAACUUCAAAUUUGAAUUUUGUGAAU